CUCAGAACGAACGCGGGCGGCGUGCCUAACACAUGCAAGUCGAACGGAUUUGAGGGGCUUGCUCCUCAAGUUAGUGGCGCACGGGUGAGUAACGCGUAGAUAAUCUGCCCGACGAUCUGGGAUAACACUUCGAAAGGGGUGCUAAUACCGGAUAAGCCCACGUGGUCUUUGGACCGUGCGGGAAAAGGGGGGGACCUUCGGGCCUUCUGUCGUCGGAUGAGUCUGCGUACCAUUAGCUAGUUGGUAGGGUAAUGGCCUACCAAGGCUACGAUGGUUAGCUGGUCUGAGAGGAUGAUCAGCCACACUGGAACUGAGACACGGUCCAGACUCCUACGGGAGGCAGCAGUGGGGAAUUUUGCGCAAUGGGCGAAAGCCUGACGCAGCAACGCCGCGUGAGUGAUGAAGGCUUUCGGGUCGUAAAGCUCUGUCAGGGGGAAAGAAGUGUAUUGUGGCUAAUAUCCACGAUACUUGACGGUACCCCCAAAGGAAGCACCGGCUAACUCCGUGCCAGCAGCCGCGGUAAUACGGAGGGUGCGAGCGUUGUUCGGAAUUAUUGGGCGUAAAGCGCGUGUAGGCGGUUUGUUAAGUCUGAUGUGAAAGCCCCGGGCUCAACCUGGGAAGUGCAUUGGAAACUGGCAGACUUGAAUACGGGAGAGGGUAGUGGAAUUCCUAGUGUAGGAGUGAAAUCCGUAGAUAUUAGGAGGAACACCGGUGGCGAAGGCGGCUGCCUGGACCGAUAUUGACGCUGAGACGCGAAAGCGUGGGUAGCAAACAGGAUUAGAUACCCUGGUAGUCCACGCCGUAAACGAUGAGUACUAGGUGUUGCGGGUAUUGACCCCUGCAGUGCCGCAGCUAACGCAUUAAGUACUCCGCCUGGGAAGUACGGUCGCAAGACUAAAACUCAAAU
Molecule: ribosomal RNA, 907 nt
Filed under: uncultured bacterium
Lineage: Bacteria
Description: bacterial SSU rRNA
Rfam family: Bacterial small subunit ribosomal RNA
Source: RNAcentral